This is a long non-coding RNA of Perognathus longimembris pacificus (Pacific pocket mouse), 170 nucleotides long. RefSeq lists it as uncharacterized. The record is from RefSeq and is a predicted model, not a curated record. NCBI's taxonomy places the organism in Eukaryota, Metazoa, Chordata, Mammalia, Rodentia, Heteromyidae. The transcript is spliced from 4 exons.
AUGUGUGUGUGUGUCCCAAUCUGAGGAAGGAAGUGUUUUACAGUUACUAGUCAUAGAGGACAUAAGCAUUGUAGAUUAGAGUGACAAUGGGCAUUAAGGAUAAGAUCUCUCUUUAUUUUAUUUUAAAUUUUGGUUUUUGAAAAAAUAAUUAACAAAGCAAGGGGGUGGAG